Vespa mandarinia (Asian giant hornet) is the source of this 1178-nucleotide long non-coding RNA. The record is from RefSeq and is a predicted model, not a curated record. NCBI's taxonomy places the organism in Eukaryota, Metazoa, Arthropoda, Insecta, Hymenoptera, Vespidae.
UAUACUGCAAAACAGAAUUGAGCUCUGGGAACGAGCUUAAUUGACCGAACGUCUGGGAGUAACUUUAUGCGCGUAGAUAGUCGAGUUAUUAGACCAUUUAACGAUGUAAUAGCAAAUGAAAAUGAAUAUCGACAACACUAGACUAGUUUUUACGCAUGAAACAUCUUUGAUGACGUUUAAUCAUGGCAAUUCCCAACUCUAUAUACCUCGAAGAAGAUAUAAAUCGAGUUUAGAUAAAUUAUGCGUAAAUCGAUUUAAAACCAAUAGUCAUCCUGAUUUUUAACAAUUUAUUUCUCGUUAAGCAAUGCUCUACCAAGGACUCUCAACCAUAGCCGCGAACUGUUAACGCGAUGCAACUCGAAUGACAUAAAAUUUACGAUUCCAUCGCGAUGAAUUUCAAUGUGACGAACAUAUAUAUAUAUAUAUAUAUAUAUAUAUAUAUAUAUAUAUAUAUAUAUCGACAUAUAAGUCGGGGUCAAAAAGGGAGGGUUGGUCGUGGAAGCAGACACCGAGACUUUCUGGCGCCUGCCUUGCGGCGUCUCGCCGAAACGUAUUCGAAUGAACGUUUUCUCGUAACGACCAAAUGUGUUUUCAUAAAAACAAAAUACCAUUUCGAAAUAAGUAUUUACAAUAGCAUGAGAAAAAAAUAUUGUUAUUUAUACGAGAGCUAUCGAUCGUCGAUAAAAAUUCUUCGAAUUUGACGCUUAACGUAAUUCCCUCAAUUCGCAGAAUGAAUGUAUCUAUUACAUAUAUCUAUUACAUAUGAAACAAACAACGUAGCAACGACGUCGAUAUAUCUUGAAGAAUAAAAUGAAUUAAGGAAUAUCAUGUCGAUCGAGAUAAAAGAUUAAAUUGGAUCGAACGUGGAGGCACUUAUAGCAACAAAGACCUGUGCCGUUUAGACAGGUGUGAUACCAGAUCGACGUGCUAUAGGAUUGGUCGAACGACCGUUAGUAACCAUCGUUGCUGAGAACAACGACAACGAGGACGAGGAAAAGACGAUGAAAGAGCUACACAACGACUAGAAGCAACAUGAGAAACGCAACGAUCGUCCCUAUGCUAUUCUGGGACGGUCGACGGCAUUGCGACGGUGCCUUGACUUCUGACCGUUUCUCGUCGUCGUGGUCUCAAAUAGUACGAUUUGCUGCCACCUUUAACACUUUUCCUCCUUAACAGAG